GAGUUUGAUCCUGGCUCAGAUUGAACGCUGGCGGCAUGCUUUACACAUGCAAGUCGAACGGGGUGAGGAGCUUGCUCCUCAUCUAGUGGCGAACGGGUGAGUAAUACAUCGGAACGUACCGUGUAGUGGGGGAUAACGUAGCGAAAGUUACGCUAAUACCGCAUACGAUCCACGGAUGAAAGCAGGGGACCUUCGGGCCUUGUGCUAUACGAGCGGCCGAUGUCUGAUUAGCUAGUUGGUGGGUAAAGGCCCACCAAGGCAACGAUCAGUAGCGGGUCUGAGAGGAUGAUCCGCCACACUGGGACUGAGACACGGCCCAGACUCCUACGGGAGGCAGCAGUGGGGAAUUUUGGACAAUGGGCGCAAGCCUGAUCCAGCCAUGCCGCGUGUCUGAAGAAGGCCUUCGGGUUGUAAAGGACUUUUGUCAGGGAGCAAAACCCAGCAGCUAAUAUCUGUUGGGGAUGAGAGUACCUGAAGAAUAAGCACCGGCUAACUACGUG
RNAcentral lists this ribosomal RNA (500 nucleotides) under uncultured bacterium. Its description in RNAcentral is "bacterial SSU rRNA". It matches the Rfam family "Bacterial small subunit ribosomal RNA", at positions 9 to 507 of the family's 1533-position model. The record is from RNAcentral.